This 444-nucleotide ribosomal RNA is filed under the name uncultured bacterium. RNAcentral describes it as "partial 16S ribosomal RNA". It matches the Rfam family "Bacterial small subunit ribosomal RNA", at positions 339 to 795 of the family's 1533-position model. The record is from RNAcentral.
CUACGGGUGGCUGCAGUGGGGAAUAUUGCACAAUGGGCGAAAGCCUGAUGCAGCAACGCCGCGUGAGGGACGACGGCCUUCGGGUUGUAAACCUCUUUUAGCAGGGAAGAAGCGAAAGUGACGGUACCUGCAGAAAAAGCACCGGCUAACUACGUGCCAGCAGCCGCGGUAAUACGUAGGGUGCAAGCGUUGUCCGGAAUUAUUGGGCGUAAAGAGCUCGUAGGCGGUUUGUCGCGUCUGCUGUGAAAAUCCGAGGCUCAACCUCGGACCUGCAGUGGGUACGGGCAAACUAGAGUGCGGUAGGGGAGAUAGGAAUUCCUGGUGUAGCGGUGGAAUGCGCAGAUAUCAGGAGGAACACUAAUGGCGAAGGCAGAUCUCUGGGCCGUAACUGACGCUGAGGAGCGAAAGCGUGGGGAGCGAACAGGAUUAGAUACCCGAGUAGUC